Molecule: ribosomal RNA, 141 nt
Filed under: Trifolium pratense (red clover)
Lineage: Eukaryota; Viridiplantae; Streptophyta; Magnoliopsida; Fabales; Fabaceae
Description: rRNA LSU_rRNA_eukarya
Rfam family: Eukaryotic large subunit ribosomal RNA
Source: RNAcentral
CAACAGUAAUUCAACCUAAUACGAGCGAAACCGUUGAUUUGCACAAUUGGUCAUCGCGCUUGGUUGAAAAGUCAGUGGCGCGAAGCUACAGUGCGUUGGAUUAUGACUGAACGCCAUCUACGUCCGAAUUCGAGCUAAAAG